UUUGGGGCGACUGCAGUCGAGCGGUCAGGAGAAGCUUGCUUCUCGCUGACGAGCGGCGGACGGGUGAGUAAUACUUAGGAAUCUACCUAGUAGUGGGGGAUAGCUCGGGGAAACUCGAAUUAAUACCGCAUACGACCUACGGGAGAAAGGGGGCAACUUGUUGCUCUCGCUAUUAAUGAGCCUAAGUCGGAUUAGCUAGAUGGUGG
RNAcentral lists this ribosomal RNA (206 nucleotides) under bacterium. RNAcentral's name for it is "partial 16S ribosomal RNA". It matches the Rfam family "Bacterial small subunit ribosomal RNA", at positions 60 to 255 of the family's 1533-position model. The record is from RNAcentral.